GACGAACGCUGGCGGCGUGCCUAAUACAUGCAAGUAGAGCGCUGAAGGGUGGUACUUGUACCAACUGGAUGAGCAGCGAACGGGUGAGUAACGCGUGGGGAAUCUGCCUUUUAGCGGGGGACAACUUUUGGAAACGAAAGCUAAUACCGCAUAAAAACUUAUAACACAAGUUUUAUAUUUGAAAGAGGCAAUUGCAUCACUACAAGAUGAACCUGCGUUGUAUUAGCUAGUAGGUGAGGUAAAGGCUCACCAAGGCGACGAUACAUAGCCGACCUGAGAGGGCGAGCGGCCACACUGGGACUGAGAGAAGCGCAAGACGCCUACGGGAGGCAGCAGUAGGGAAUCUUCGGCAAUGGGGGCAAGCCUGACCGAGCAACGCGGCGUGAGGGAAGAAGGUUUUCGGAUCGUAAAGCUCUGUUGGAAGUCAAGAACGGGUGUGAGAGUGGAAAGUUCACACUGUGACGGUAGCUUACCAGAAAGGGACGGCUAACUACGUG
This 497-nucleotide ribosomal RNA is filed under the name uncultured bacterium. RNAcentral describes it as "partial 16S ribosomal RNA". It matches the Rfam family "Bacterial small subunit ribosomal RNA", at positions 28 to 507 of the family's 1533-position model. The record is from RNAcentral.